Molecule: unclassified non-coding RNA, 290 nt
Filed under: Thermomyces lanuginosus
Lineage: Eukaryota; Fungi; Ascomycota; Eurotiomycetes; Eurotiales; Trichocomaceae
Description: sequence contains 18S rRNA gene
Source: RNAcentral
CUUCCGUAGGUGAACCUGCGGAAGGAUCAUUACCGAGUGCGGGAACCCAGUCGGGUCCCAAUCUCCCACCUGUGUCUACCACACCUAGUGUUGCUUUGGCGGGCCCACUCCUCCGGUGUUCCGCCGGGGGGGUCGUCCCGGGGCGCGGUGUGCCCCAGGGCCCUAGCCAACCCUAUGCACUCACUGUCAACUCUUUUGUGAAUGCGAGAAUUGUCUGGCUGACGAAAUGCAAUCUUUCAAACUUUCAACCAUGGAUUCUCUUGGUUCCUGCAUCGAUGAUAACCAGCUUA